Molecule: ribosomal RNA, 207 nt
Filed under: uncultured bacterium
Lineage: Bacteria
Description: partial 16S ribosomal RNA
Rfam family: Bacterial small subunit ribosomal RNA
Source: RNAcentral
CACGUAGGCGGAUAUGCAAGUUGGGGGUGAAAGCCCGAGGCUCAACCUCGGAACUGCCUUCAAAACUGUAUGUCUUGAGUCCGGAAGAGGUAAGGGGAAUUCCUAGUGUAGAGGUGAAAUUCGUAGAUAUUAGGAAGAACACCAGUGGCGAAGGCGCCUUACUGGUCCGGUACUGACGCUGAGGUGCGAAAGCGUGGGGAGCAAACA